GUCUAUGGCCUUACCACCCUGAACGCACCCAAUCUCAUCUGAUCUCGGAAAUUAAGCAGGGUCAGGCCUGGCCAGGACUUGGAUGGGAGAAUGUCUUUACAGAUAAUGAAGUCAUGUUAGAAA
This 123-nucleotide ribosomal RNA is filed under the name Aotus nancymaae (Ma's night monkey). Lineage: Eukaryota; Metazoa; Chordata; Mammalia; Primates; Aotidae. The record is from RNAcentral.